This 201-nucleotide long non-coding RNA is filed under the name Ananas comosus (pineapple). RNAcentral's name for it is "long non-coding RNA (ACOM_LNC042616)". Lineage: Eukaryota; Viridiplantae; Streptophyta; Magnoliopsida; Poales; Bromeliaceae. The record is from RNAcentral.
CAUUUUCGGGUGCUGGGACCGGUCUCUGGACUUGAGGGACCGGUCCCCGAAUGUCCAGAAAAACAGCAUUCCAGACUUAGCCAAAUUUUUAGCUUUUUCAGCUUUCGGGGUCCGUUUUCGCUCCGUUUUCGCCCGUUUGACCUCCGAUUCGAUGACUCUCCAAACAUGUUUUCGAGCAUGUUUUCUUCAUCUUUUCAUCCA